Molecule: ribosomal RNA, 253 nt
Filed under: uncultured bacterium
Lineage: Bacteria
Description: partial 16S ribosomal RNA
Rfam family: Bacterial small subunit ribosomal RNA
Source: RNAcentral
UACGAAGGGGGCUAGCGUUGCUCGGAAUCACUGGGCGUAAAGCGCACGUAGGCGGAUUGCUAAGUCAGGGGUGAAAUCCUGGAGCUCAACUCCAGAACUGCCUUUGAUACUGGGGAUCUCGAGUCCGGGAGAGGUGAGUGGAAUUCUCGGUGUAGCGGUGAAAUGCGUAGAUAUCGAGAGGAACACCUGCGGCGAAGGCGGGUUGCUGGGCUGACACUGACGCUGAUGCGCGAAAGCUAGGGGAGCGAACGGG